GGGCCCGUAGCUCAGUUGGUAGAGCACCUGACUUUUAAUCAGGUUGUCACAGGUUCGAUCCCUGUCGGGCUCACCA
This 76-nucleotide transfer RNA is filed under the name Alphaproteobacteria bacterium. RNAcentral's name for it is "tRNA-Lys". It matches the Rfam family "tRNA". Rfam says of the family: Transfer RNA (tRNA) molecules are approximately 80 nucleotides in length. Their secondary structure includes four short double-helical elements and three loops (D, anti-codon, and T loops). Further hydrogen bonds mediate the characteristic L-shaped molecular structure. tRNAs have two regions of fundamental functional importance: the anti-codon, which is responsible for specific mRNA codon recognition, and the 3' end, to which the tRNAs corresponding amino acid is attached (by aminoacyl-tRNA synthetases). tRNAs cope with the degeneracy of the genetic code in two manners: having more than one tRNA (with a specific anti-codon) for a particular amino acid; and 'wobble' base-pairing, i.e. permitting non-standard base-pairing at the 3rd anti-codon position. Lineage: Bacteria; Pseudomonadati; Pseudomonadota; Alphaproteobacteria. The record is from RNAcentral. RNAcentral also lists the same sequence under 2 other names.